Ochotona princeps (American pika) is the source of this 2761-nucleotide RNA transcript. It is a transcript of the gene named solute carrier family 22 member 15, with no coding region annotated. The record is from RefSeq and is a predicted model, not a curated record. NCBI's taxonomy places the organism in Eukaryota, Metazoa, Chordata, Mammalia, Lagomorpha, Ochotonidae. The transcript is spliced from 13 exons.
CCGCCGCCCGCGCUCGCCCCUCAGCCGCGGCGGGGCCGCCGCUGCCGGCGCCUGAAGGCUCGCGCGCGCGGGACCCGCCAUGGAGGUGGAAGAGGCGUUCCAGGCGGUGGGAGAGAUGGGCAUCUACCAGAUGUACUUGUGCUUCCUGCUGGCCGUGCUGCUGCAGCUCUAUGUGGCCACAGAGGCCAUCCUCAUUGCGCUCGUGGGGGCCACACCAACGUACCACUGGGACCUGGCAGAGCUCCUGCCCAACCAGAGCCACGGCAACCAGUCAGUUGGUGGAGACCAGGCCUUCGGAGACUGGCUGCUGACCGCCAACGGCAGCGAGAUCCACAAGCAUGUGCAUUUCAGCAGCAGCUUCACUUCCAUCGCCUCCGAGUGGUUUUUAAUCGCCAACAGAUCCUACAAAGUCAGUGUUGCCAGCUCCUUUUUCUUCAGUGGUGUGUUUGUUGGAGUCAUCUCCUUUGGUCAGCUUUCAGAUCGCUUUGGAAGGAAGAAGAUGUAUCUCUCAGGUUUUGCUCUUGACAUCUUAUUUGCUAUUGCAAAUGGAUUUUCUCCCUCGUAUGAGUUCUUUGCAAUAACUCGCUUCCUGGUGGGCAUGAUGAAUGGAGGGAUGUCGCUGGUGGCCUUUGUGUUGCUAAAUGAAUGUGUGGGCACCGCCUACUGGGCACUUGCAGGAUCGAUUGGUGGCCUGUUCUUCGCAGUUGGCAUCGCUCAGUACGCCCUGUUAGGGUACUUCAUCCGCUCCUGGAGGACCCUGGCCAUUCUGGUUAACCUGCAGGGAACAGUGGUCUUUCUCUUAUCUUUAUUCAUUCCUGAAUCACCUCGUUGGUUAUACUCCCAGGGUCGACUGAGUGAGGCUGAAGAGGCAUUGUACCUCAUCGCCAGGAGGAACCGCAAGCUCAAGUGUACGUUCUCACUGACAUACCCAGCCAACAGGAGCUAUAGGGAGACUGGGAGCUUCCUGGAUCUGUUCCGCUACCGCAUCCUCUUGGGACACACACUCAUCCUGAUGUUCAUCUGGUUUGUGUGCAGCUUGGUGUACUAUGGCCUAACACUGAGUGCAGGUGAUCUCGGUGGAAGUAUUUAUGCCAACCUGGCCCUGUCUGGCCUCAUAGAGAUCCCAUCUUACCCUCUUUGCAUCUACCUGAUUAACCGAAAGUGGUUUGGUCGGAAGCGGACAUUAGCAGCAUUUCUGUGCCUAGGAGGAUUGGCUUGUCUUAUUGUAAUGUUUCUUCCAGAAAAAAAAGACACAGGUGUGUUUGCAGUAGUGAACAGCCAUUCCUUGUCCCUGCUGGGGAAACUGACCAUCAGUGCUGCCUUCAACAUCGUUUAUAUCUAUACCUCGGAGCUGUACCCCACGGUCAUCAGGAAUGUUGGGCUUGGAACUUGUUCCAUGUUCUCCCGAGUUGGUGGCAUCAUUGCUCCCUUCGUCCCCUCACUGAAAUAUGUGCAGUGGUCUCUCCCCUUCAUUGUCUUUGGAAUUACUGGCCUGACCUCGGGCCUCCUGAGUUUGCUGUUGCCAGAGACGCUCAAUAAUCCGUUGCUCGAGACAGUUUCUGACCUUCAAGUGUAUUCCUAUCGGCGGCUGGGGGAGGAGGCACUGUCUCUGCAGGCCCUGGACCCUCCACAGUCUGCUGACAAGGGCAGCACGCUGGGGAGUGAGAGUGAGGAAGAGGAAGAGUUUUAUGAUGCAGAUGAAGAAACUCAGAUGAUCAAGUGAGGUGGAUGCCUCCCCAAAGACCAAAUGAUAGUCUUUUCUGCCACUCACUAAGACAGGCUGUCCGUGAGUCUUAUAAAGACAGGCAAGGCUGGAACUGAGCGGACACUGAGCAUGGACUGACUUCUACAGUCACAAAGGAGGCCAGAGGAGAGAUUUUACGAGAGAAGCCAUCACUGCCUUGAGGGGGGUUGCUAUGGAUUUGUCCAGAACUCAAGUCCAGACUCAUGACUUCUGGGCAAAUAACUCAAGUCAGCAUUCCAGAGUGGUCAGCUGAUCUGUGUCUAGAAAUGGGAUGAUGUGGCCUUUUCCUUCCCGAAGAUCUAGAAGCAAAUAUAAUUCCCACUGCUAGGCAUCUCUUGGUGACAGAAGAAUUGCAACAGAGGUGAGGCUUGUAACUGCUGCUGCUGCUCCUGAAGGUCCUGAAGGUGUCACCCCACACUGGGUGCAGGCACUAUCCUGUUUUGUCUUGCAGCAAUGGCUCGUUUUGCCAUCUGUACCUUUGUACUUGCUGGAGCACUUCUAUGUACUUUAUGCCCCAGUUGUAUGUUGGGCUCUGCAUCACUGGGUCAUUUCUACUCCUGUUGAUUUCUCUGUGCUGAGCCGAAUUACAAUAAGGAUCUAAUAAAUUUCAUUGUUUCUACCCGCCUAACAGACUGUGGGGCUUUUGCCAUUAUCCUUUUUGUAAGUGAUGAACAAAAUCUGACCCAAAGUUUCAAACUAUAGAAUCCUACUUGUCUGUCUUUGGAGGCUGGGGAUUGGCCCCUCAUCAAUAGAAGGAAGGCAGGUGUAAACAUUUAAUUCUUGUGAAAUGAGAAACCUUUUAAAAUAAAACAGUGCAUUAAUGUGUCUGUCAUUUUUGGUUAGUUUCGAGUUCUUUUUGCAUUAUAAGAGUAAUACCAUAUUUCAUUACAGAAUGUUUGGAAAGUAGAAGUUUAAAAAUUUUAUCGUUUCUGGACCCAGCACCCAAAGAUGACUGGUGUUAUGGUCUGGCUACAUUUGGUGAAUAAUUGAGAGUUAUUUCUGUUAGGACUGACGUUG